GGCGGAGGUACACGCUUCGCCUUCGCAUGGCAGAGGCCACGAGUUCGAGUCUCGUCGGAUCCA
RNAcentral lists this transfer RNA (63 nucleotides) under Actinomycetota bacterium. Its description in RNAcentral is "tRNA-Ala". Lineage: Bacteria; Bacillati; Actinomycetota. The record is from RNAcentral.